AGAAAGUGAGAAAGAGAUUGGCCAGCGGCGUAGCCCCCAGUCCCCAUCCCCAAUUCCUCUCCCUCUCCCUUUCCCUCGUCUGCCGCCGCCAGCCCCACCGCCGCCCUCCCCGCAGCCGCCGUCACCACCGGCGCCCAGGUGUGGCGCUGCUCUUCCCCACGGUCCUGACGGCAAGGCGGCGACAAGAGUUAGAAGGCGGACGGCCCCGUCAGAUCUCGUGCCGAUGAAGUCAAGGACGAGCUCCACCCGGACGAUGUCGAUCCGCCCCCCUGCCACACUUCUCCAUCGCGUCACCAUAUUCGGAGGAGCCGCGACUUCUGCUCGCGCAUCUGCUCCUCCCGAAGUUGUCGCCAUCGGCAGGAGGAGUGCCGGACCGCACGCCAACUCGAGGACCGCCGCUCCGGCGGACCGUUGUUUCUGGCCGCCGUCCGCCUCUGGUGCCCGGCACAGGAGCUUCCCGGCGCAGGCUUUGCACUACAGAGCAGUUGGUGGUAGGAAGGACAGAGGACGCGAAGAACUCAUGGUUAGGUGUACGGAGAGGGGAGGAGGAGGAAGCACUUCUCUGACAAGAUCCAUAGCCACCACUUCAUCAUCGGCGGCAACCCUCUGUAUUUCCAAUGGUAAGGAUACUGGACAGUGCCAAUUUUAGGUGUGGUAUACUCAAAAUUUUGCUGUAUCUUUUUUCACAAGUAUUUGCAACGGUAAGGAUAGUGGAUAGUGCCAAUUUUAGGUUGUGGUAUACUCAAGAUGAAUUGGUUCUCUUAGGAGAAAAAUAAGGAAGUCAGAGUUUUUGUGUUCUCAUUUAUAAGCUUGAUUUUUUUCCUAACUCAUGAUGCAGUGUAGUAAUGUUAUUCCGGACGCAUGCGAUUUACAAAAUAAAAGGAGUAGCAAAUAUCAUAUACAUGGUUAAGGGACUGGCUGGUUUCUGAUCCACUACAAAUUGAGCAUUCUUUUGUGAAGGAAUAUUACACUAAAAAAGUUGUCAUCAGUAUAUAUCUCAAGAUGAAUUGUGUCACGGGAGCCGAUACGGCGGCAGACACAAGCAGAGCAAAGCAAAGCCGGCGCGACGGCCGGGCCCUCCAAGCACACAACCACUGCCUCCUCGCCAAGAUACGCUAGCCUGCAUCUACAAGAUUUUCAUACUAUGGUGUUAUUGCAAUCCAGGAAAAAAAGGAACUUGCCUGUAUGGUGUUCACUAAAAAGAAGAAUCUGCUAAAAGGUUGGAUGUGGGCUGUACGUGGACAUGAACUUGUUCCUGGGAUUCAGAAGGGAGCACGUGCCAUGGAACUUCAAGAAGACGGAGAACCAUGUGUACCUCCAUGUCGUGCUUUGGCAGAAGCUGGAUGCCGACGAGUCAGAACCUGCUGAAGAAGCCACUCUGCUCACCAUUGGCGCUUUCCGUGGGAAGUGAUAGCAAUGGAAGCGGAGCUGUAGCUCUUCUGAAAAUUGCAAGGAUCUUUUCACACAUCUAUACAAGCCCUAAGACCAGAAGCAAGUUUAAUCUUCUCUUUGGAUUAACAUCUGGCGGACCCUACAAUUAAAAUGGAACUAGCAAGGUUAUCAAUUUUUGUUACAGUGGCUUGAAGUUUUGACCAACAUGUGUGUGAUAUUAUUGACUAUGCAAUUUACUUGAAUAUCAUUGGUUCCCGGAGCAAUGAUCUCUGGAUGCAUGUAUCAAAGCCUCCAGAGAAGCCUUACAUCAAGCAAAUCUUUGAGGUACAGUAGCCGUUUCAAUUUUUUGGUUCAUAACUUUGAUUACCUGCAAUUAUAAAGUCUUCUAUAACUUGAAGUGUGUUUCCUUCAGAAUUUUUCGCAUGUCUCCAAGGAAAUGGGCAUUUCAGUCGCACAGAACAUUAAUGUGUCAAAUUCUAGAGUGUGUUCUUGCCUUUUGAAGGAUUGUAUACCAUCAUUAGGUUUGAAUCCGAUUAGGAUUUCAGAUAAUCUGUCUUACAUGGACCUACUGUCAGUAGUAGCACAAUGGCAUUAUCAUAUCAUGUGCUGCCCAGCGUGACAAACUAGCGGAGCGGUUCCCAGCCGAGCACAAAAAAUAAUAAACUUACACCAAUCUUCGGUUUUCAUGCUACAGAAUUUGUGUGCUCAUAUAGUUGUAUCUAUGAAAUCGCGGACUACAUGCUGAACAAGUUUCAGAUUGAGGAGAGCCUGGUCCCAAGAUGUGCCUAAAUUUGUACAGGGAAUAAGGAACUACAAUGGCCGGUCUGAAGCUUAUGGGCUACGAUUUCGACUACGAGGAUUCCACGCCAGCGUGCACGGUAAAUUGCCAUAUGAGAAGUUGAAGCCGGACCCUGUCCUGAGGAACCUACUGCUUUCGAUGCCUCAAAAUCCCUCUGAUGUUUUUUGCUAAUCGCAUCAGCAAGGGGUCGGUGACAGUUAAAUGCUUCAGCAGUUACAGUUUGUUGUUGCACUGUAGAUAUUCACCAACUCUGACGAGGCUCACGCGGCCGCCCUCCUCUUGGUUAACUCUGACAUUCAUUGUGCCAUUUAUAUCAAAAUAUUGCAUGAGUUUUUGUUGGUUGUUCAGGGACUAAGCUUAUCUUGGUUAAUGUGAAUUUUAAUUGUACUCCGGCUCAAGUGAUUUUUUGAUAUGGUAACUAAUUUCUGGUUCUUUUUGCUAAAUUCUAAUUUAAAAACAAAGCAGUAAGAAAUCAUGCAUGAUGUUUCAAGUAAAAAAAUAAAUAAAUGCAGCCUCGAGUGCUGAUCUAUGAAAUAGAUACCAUCAGGAAGGUCAUGCCUUCAAUUCAUCAUGUUCUUUGCAUGCCUAAUUUUCCUCUCAUCCUCUUUUGUUGUAUUCACAGUGUUUUUUUUUCUGGACAAUGGUUCUGCAUCUUUGCAAGAGGAUUAUCAGGCCUGAGUGACAUUUGUGGGGAAAAAAUCGUUCAAAGCUUGGUGUUCAUUGCUGUUAUUGUUCCUAAUUUGAAGGGGACUGAGAUUUCUACCUAGGACAUCUGAAAUAAAUUAGAUGUUAGUAAGUCUAUUACUAAGACAAAGACAUUGUGUUCUUUUUCAUAAUUUUUCUGAAUUGUCUUGGAGAAGCAAGUAGGCAAUACUGAUGAAGCCCAGUCGUAUGAGCUGAGGGCUCAGACCGUCUCGCCGCGCUGGAUCUGAUCUUACAUGCAAAGCUGUUGAGCAGAUGCUGAUCAUUUAAUGUUGUGACAGUAAUAAGAGUUGUCUGUAUUUCUUCUUUCAUGUACUAUAAAUACAAGAGACAUAUGUACUACACUACUUUUGGACAAACUGUAAUGGGUUGUCCUCGUUACAUGUACAACCAGUGUAAUGGAUCUGAGCUCA
This is a long non-coding RNA of Triticum dicoccoides, 3306 nucleotides long. RefSeq lists it as uncharacterized. NCBI's taxonomy places the organism in Eukaryota, Viridiplantae, Streptophyta, Magnoliopsida, Poales, Poaceae. The transcript is spliced from 6 exons. The record is from RefSeq and is a predicted model, not a curated record.